This 424-nucleotide ribosomal RNA is filed under the name uncultured bacterium. Its description in RNAcentral is "bacterial SSU rRNA". It matches the Rfam family "Bacterial small subunit ribosomal RNA", at positions 356 to 771 of the family's 1533-position model. The record is from RNAcentral.
AGGGAAUAUUGCGCAAUGGGCGAAAGCCUGACGCAGCGACGCCGCGUGGGUGAUGAAGGCCUUCGGGUCGUAAAGCCCUGUCGAGGGGAAAGAAACGGUCUCGACCUAACACGUCGGGUCCCUGACGGUACCCCUAAAGGAAGCACCGGCUAACUCCGUGCCAGCAGCCGCGGUAAGACGGAGGGUGCUAGCGUUGUUCGGAAUCACUGGGCGUAAAGGGCGCGUAGGCGGCGUCGCAAGUCGGCUGUGAAAGCCCGGGGCUCAACCUCGGAGGUGCAGCCGAGACUGCGGUGCUCGAGGCCGGAAGAGGAGGGUGGAAUACCCAGUGUAGAGGUGAAAUUCGUAGAUAUUGGGUGGAACACCGGUGGCGAAAGCGGCUCUCUGGUCCGGUACUGACGCUGAGGCGCGAAAGCGUGGGGAGCAA